RNAcentral lists this ribosomal RNA (253 nucleotides) under uncultured bacterium. RNAcentral's name for it is "partial 16S ribosomal RNA". It matches the Rfam family "Bacterial small subunit ribosomal RNA", at positions 524 to 776 of the family's 1533-position model. The record is from RNAcentral.
UACGUAGGGUGCGAGCGUUGUCCGGAAUUAUUGGGCGUAAAGAGCUCGUAGGCGGCCUGUCGCGUCGGAUGUGAAAGCCCGGGGCUCAACCCCGGGUCUGCAUUCGAUACGGGCAGGCUGGAGUGUGGUAGGGGAGAUCGGAAUUCCUGGUGUAGCGGUGAAAUGCGCAGAUAUCAGGAGGAACACCAAUGGCGAAGGCAGAUCUCUGGGCCGUAACUGACGCUGAGGAGCGAAAGCAUGGGGAGCGAACAGG